Molecule: long non-coding RNA, 1494 nt
Filed under: Homo sapiens (human)
Lineage: Eukaryota; Metazoa; Chordata; Mammalia; Primates; Hominidae
Description: PREDICTED lncRNA (TCONS_00189027)
Rfam family: SOX2 overlapping transcript exon 3 (bases 591-866)
Source: RNAcentral
GAAUGUUGGGAACCGAUCUGAUUCCAAGGAUUGAGAAGUUUUGCAGUGGUCAACUGGUAUAGACAUCCCAUUACCACUACUUCCUUCAUUGGACUGCAAGGUAUUUCUGUUUGGAAAAGUAAUGGAGUCCAGUCAACUUCAUUGAUCGCCAAGGACUGUCAAAAUUAUAAAACUUGCUGUGGAGCUCUGACAUGCCAGAAGCCGCUAGAAAAAGAAGUUUGACAUUCAGAAACUUAUCAAGAGGUUCUACUCUUUGGAUAGAGACCAAAAUCAUACUUUGAAUGAUAUGCAAUGCAAGACUCCCAAGAUUCUGGGCAGUGGCAGGGAGGUGCAGCUUCUAGUCUGCCGCAUGAUCACAAUGAAAGCCUGACAGGUUUCUUCGGAAAAGUGGCCAUCCAUGGAAUGAAUGAAAUGUUCUCUUUCUAUUCCACCUCUAGAGACCAUCAAAAAACAAUGGCUCAUAAUGCUUUUAGAACAGAAACUGAAGUUGUAUACUGUGCAUAUGUAAUCCUACACAAGAGGAAGGCAAUGUUUAAAGCUGCUGUCACCUCUUAGGGAAAAAACUGGAAUUCUGAGUCAAGGGAUUGCAGUGGCAAAGCUAGGCUAGGUCUUGGAGGCUGGUGUAAGGCGAUGUGGGUGAAGGCAGGAGGCUGAUGGAAAGACUGGGGGGAAGAAAAGCCGAAAUGGAUUCACGGUGCCUUGGAUGAAGGACGAGAGGGGAACUGCAAGCUCCUUCAACUGGUUCUGUCCGGUGAGAAGUGAUCAAGCUUGGGCUGACAAGAGGCUCAGGGAGCCCUCACGUUCUUUCGCUUUUUUACCUGCCAAUCAAACUGCUACAAGACAACACCCUGAUCUGGCAUGGACAUGUAAAAGCAAUAGUCUUGGAAAAGCGAAUCUACCAGCAGGGGGCGCACCAGCCACAUCCCUGAAACCAGCCGCGCUGAAAAGCCGGUGGCCGCCUUCUCUUCCCCAGAUCUUCUCAACCUUUUCUCUUUCCUAAUCUCCAGGUCCGUGUUUACCUUAAUAUUACACCUGGAUUAAACAGAAAACAGUGCUGUAUUUUGAAGAGCGCCGAAUAUGUAUGCAUUUUGAGAAACCCAAUCUCACCCUUUCCGGGUUCCCAAGAACUAAAACAAGCCAUAACUUGAGAGAAAAAGGAGAACCUUCGGGGGGCAGGAAGGUUGAUUGGAAAUAACUUAAGGAAAGUCUGCAGAAUUCUUUUUUUUACAACUUUUCUGAGUUUCCAGUGGGUAUAUUUAGUGUGAGUUUGACAGUAACAGGCUAGGGAGGGCAGAGAUUGGAGAAAUUGGGGGUCGGGGGAGUGAUUAUGGGAAGAAGGUUAGUAAGGAACAAAACAAUGCACCGUUUUGUAAAGAUAAUAAAUGGAACGUGGCUGGUAGAUACUAUUCAGUACAUUUUCUUAGGGUGAGUAAGGGUAGACCAGGGGAGGAGGGGGCGGAGAGAGUGUUACAGAAGAAAGAAAAUAAGUAACCC